GUAGGGAAUCUUCGGCAAUGGACGAAAGUCUGACCGAGCAACGCCGCGUGAGUGAAGAAGGUUUUCGGAUCGUAAAACUCUGUUGUUAGAGAAGAAUGUUGAUUAGAGUGGAAAAUUAAUCAAGUGACGGUAUCUAACCAGAAAGGGACGGCUAACUACGUGCCAGCAGCCGCGGUAAUACGUAGGUCCCGAGCGUUGUCCGGAUUUAUUGGGCGUAAAGCGAGCGCAGGUGGUUUAAUAAGUCUGAUGUAAAAGGCAGUGGCUCAACCAUUGUGUGCAUUGGAAACUGUUAGACUUGAGUGCAGUAGAGGAGAGUGGAAUUCCAUGUGUAGCGGUGAAAUGCGUAGAUAUAUGGAGGAACACCGGUGGCGAAAGCGGCUCUCUGGACUGUCACUGACACUGAGGCUCGAAAGCGUGGGUAGCAAACAGGAUUAGAUACCCGAGUAGUCC
This 450-nucleotide ribosomal RNA is filed under the name uncultured bacterium. RNAcentral's name for it is "partial 16S ribosomal RNA". It matches the Rfam family "Bacterial small subunit ribosomal RNA", at positions 354 to 796 of the family's 1533-position model. The record is from RNAcentral.